AGGGCGAAGAGACCAAAAGCCUGACCCUGGUCCUGCACCGCGACGCUGGCUCCCUCGGCUUCAACAUCAUCGGGGGACGGCCGUGUGCGGACCACCAGGAUGGCUCGUCCAGUGAAGGAAUCUUCGUGUCCAGGAUCGUGGACAGCGGGCCGGCGGCCAAGGACGGGGGCCUGCAGAUCCACGACCGCAUCGUGGAGGAAAGGAACUAGAAAUGAUCCGAUGUGGUCACAGUCUUUCAGGCCAUCCUAUCGAGUUACACAAGUCCGAGUGUUUGCACAGGGAUGGAGCCUGCCCAGCUUGGAGGUUUCCUGUGCGUUAGGGAGCUAACGUUUCCAGGACCACACUUCCGAGCAGCGACGUCUCCUCGUCUCCUCUCCUCGCAGCCUCGGGAGCUAGGG
This is a long non-coding RNA of Myotis lucifugus (little brown bat), 398 nucleotides long. RefSeq lists it as uncharacterized. Lineage: Eukaryota; Metazoa; Chordata; Mammalia; Chiroptera; Vespertilionidae. The transcript is spliced from 3 exons. The record is from RefSeq and is a predicted model, not a curated record.